This 497-nucleotide ribosomal RNA is filed under the name uncultured bacterium. RNAcentral's name for it is "partial 16S ribosomal RNA". It matches the Rfam family "Bacterial small subunit ribosomal RNA", at positions 28 to 507 of the family's 1533-position model. The record is from RNAcentral.
GAUGAACGCUGGCGGCGUGCCUAAUACAUGCAAGUCGAGCGAACGGACGAGAAGCUUGCUUCUCUGAUGUUAGCGGCGGACGGGUGAGUAACACGUGGAUAACCUACCUAUAAGACUGGGAUAACUUCGGGAAACCGUAGCUAAUACCGGAUAAUAUUUUGAACCGCAUGGUUCAAAAGUGAAAGACGGUCUUGCUGUCACUUAUAGAUGGAUCCGCGCUGCAUUAGUUAGUUGGUAAGGUAACGGCUUACCAAGGCAACGAUGCAUAGCCGACCUGAGAGGGGGAUCGGCCACACGGGAACGGAGAAACGGCCCAGACUCCUACGGGAGGCAGCAGUAGGGAAUCUUCCGCAAUGGGCGAAGGCCGGACGGAGCAACGCCGCGUGGGUGAGGAAGGUCUUCGGAUCGUAAAACUCUGUUAUUGGGGAAGAACAUAUGUGUAAGUAACUGUGCACAUCUUGACGGUACCUAAUCAGAAAGCCACGGCUAACUACGUG